Molecule: long non-coding RNA, 350 nt
Organism: Pezoporus occidentalis (night parrot)
Lineage: Eukaryota; Metazoa; Chordata; Aves; Psittaciformes; Psittacidae
Exons: 2
Source: RefSeq, a predicted model, not a curated record
UUUGUUUUUUUUUAUUUGUUUGUUUGUUUUUCCCCCUGGAAUUAGCUGCAGCUUUCUAUGCAGCUCACAGAAGCAGCAAACCUCCAUCUUCUGGUAGGAAAAGGCACUAAGGCACAUCCACAUGCCCCCUGACUUUUUAGAUACUCUUUCAUUGAAGACAUUCAAAUUCUGCCUUGCAAUUUCUUUUACACCAGAACUGUAUUGAUCAUUCCUCUCUGGAGCAGACCACAGUUUAGGACAUGAUUGUUAAAACCAGAUGUAAGAAAACUACCUUUUAGGCUGCCAGAAAUGCUCCUGCCUAAUGCCCAUCACCAUUUGUUCUGAAGAUACCAACUUUCUGGCUGUAGCAG